CUUGGAGCUGUCAGACUCUCUCCCGCCCCUGGCUUCGGGCAGUGGCUGCUGGGCCCUUGGCCUUCCUGGGGGAAAAGAAACCCUUCAGACGAGCAAACAGGAUUUAUGGAGGGGAUGGAACAGCGCAUCUCACAGAGACCUAAGAAGAGACGGGCCGUCUG
Molecule: long non-coding RNA, 161 nt
Filed under: Sus scrofa (pig)
Lineage: Eukaryota; Metazoa; Chordata; Mammalia; Artiodactyla; Suidae
Description: lncRNA (ENSSSCG00070026887.1)
Source: RNAcentral